GGUGCUCACUUUGGCAGCAUAUACUAAAAUCGGAAGGAUACAGAGAUUAGCAUAGUCCCUGCGCAAGGAUGCGUGCAAAUUCGUGAAGCGUUCCAUUAAAAA
RNAcentral lists this small nuclear RNA (102 nucleotides) under Castor canadensis (American beaver). Lineage: Eukaryota; Metazoa; Chordata; Mammalia; Rodentia; Castoridae. The record is from RNAcentral.